Molecule: long non-coding RNA, 1777 nt
Filed under: Homo sapiens (human)
Lineage: Eukaryota; Metazoa; Chordata; Mammalia; Primates; Hominidae
Description: HSALNT0375167
Source: RNAcentral
UCUCUCCUUCUCCAGCGUCCAGCAGGGCAUGGCAGCUGCACUGUGUUCAGGCCUUCUGGAUGACCUUCUGAAAAACAGCACCUGUCUUCCUCGCCAGGAUCUGCUGCUGGGCACUGGUUAUUUACUUAAGAAAGGAUCUGUGAACUGGCAGAAGUACGAUGGAGGCCACCUACUUUAAGUUGGUUGUUUGCACUCCUGUAUGUCCCCUCCAUCCUGCUGUUAAAGCCAGUCUGACCCCCUCCAGCACGUCAUCUCGCCUGAGAGCUGAAGUUAAGGGAAUGUAACGUCACCAAACGGAUGUGGCCUCAGCAAGUAACUUCAUAGCUGUGAGCUUUGGUUUGCUUUUUAGUGACAUGGAAAGGCCUGUAUGGUGAAAGUUUUCACUCAUUGCUUUGCCUAAGUCUUCUCAUUUUCACUUACUUCUUCCCAGUUUAUCCAGCUUUUCACAUAAAAGGAAAAUAAUAAAGCCAAAAUCCAAAACAUACAUAUUUUUCAGGGACACACCCUCAUGUACCAAUUGUGCAUAUAUCACUUCUUCCUGCUUAAAAAUGGAGAUUUCUUUUGAAGGGUUAUGUUUGAUUUUGAGCCAGAGUUUUCAGUAUGAAGAAGCUCUUUUUGGGCUUUUAGGACUUCAGGUAAUGCACAAAUUCUCAGGUGUCUCUCGCAGUCAGUGUUCUGCUGUAAAUCAGUGCAAGUCUCGGAUCUAGUUCAUGUCUGACCUUGUUUGGGCUCUGCAUAGUUUAGAACUUAGUCAUUUGCGUGGAGGAGAGAAAUGAAUCAUAUUGUUUAUUGUCAUAAUUAACAUGUGUUAUUAAAUUUGCAAAUGGCCACUAAUUGCCCAUGUACAGGGUCUAAGUAUGAAAACUGAAGAUUUCAAGGAGAAACCAGGAUGGAGUCAGUAAAGGCCUGAGAAGCUCUGCACAGAGUACAUGGUGGACGGCUGUGUUGAUUCAUGGAAUGAAGCACUGGGUGAAGUGAUAUUGAAUAUAGCUCACUCUCGAUGGCGUGAAAUUUUGUAGGCUAAUCUGGGGAUUAAUCAUAAAAAUGACUGAAGUCAGGCAUAAGGAGCCUAAACACUGUAAUUAGGAACUCAGUCCCAAGUAAAACUUUAAAGAGGCCAAGAAAAAGAGAAACGGAAAGUGAGGAGACACGAGUUUUGGAUGUGAGGAAUAAUCCUAGUCUAUCACGUGUGCUGUGCAUCCCUGGUACUGCAGAAGGUAUUUUAUGGCAGGAAAGAUCCUAAGAGUUAAUGCUGAAUUCCUAUGUGACAGAAGAGAAACAAUGGAGAUAAUUCAGAGCCUUGUCAUCAAGCUAACAAGGAGCUUCCAGAAAAUGCCGUGUGUGCACAUCUCCUGCAGCGGCUCCUCACUUUUCCCACGUCACUGACAUUUUGGGAGGAUCCGAUAAAGCUUAUGAAGCCUCUGCCCAAACAAGUGGCAUGUAUACCAUGGGGGCUCAUGGGCCACUUGGAGCUCAACUACGAAUCCACGAGUGGUUUAUGGCCCUCAGUAGAAGGGGCUGUCUGCAAGUGUUCCCUUGGAGAAAUUUGCAGAGUCACAUUGCUUGGUGGAAUGCUAGCCCAAGAAUUAUUUUGUUUGUGUCGUGAAAAAUGACGCCCUGGCUUCGAGAAUCAGGCUUUUGUCAUGAAUAGCAGCUUCAUGCUCGUGAAGACUGAAAUGGAUUGAUUGGUUUGAGUACUUAUUAAAAUGCCUUAAGAAUAAAUGUUUUUUUCUUCUUAAAGAACAUCUAUGAUAAAAUAUUUAUAAAUAUUUAAAUA